This 700-nucleotide ribosomal RNA is filed under the name uncultured bacterium. RNAcentral describes it as "bacterial SSU rRNA". It matches the Rfam family "Bacterial small subunit ribosomal RNA", at positions 92 to 777 of the family's 1533-position model. The record is from RNAcentral.
AAACCGGCGCACGGGUGAUGUAACACGUGAGUGACCUGCCUUUUAGACUGGAACAACUUACCGAAAGGUGAGCUAAUGCCGGAUGAGUUAUAUAAGUGCAUGUUUAUAUAGGAAAAGUUGGGGAGACCUGACGCUGAAAGAUGGACUCGCGUCCCAUUAGCUAGUUGGUAGGGUAAUGGCCUACCAAGGCGACGAUGGGUAGCCGGCCUGAGAGGGUGGCCGGCCACACUGGGACUGAGACACGGCCCAGACUCCUACGGGAGGCAGCAGUGGGGAAUUUUGCGCAAUGCUCGUAAGAGUGACGCAGCGACGCCGCGUGAAUGACGAAGGCCUUCGGGUCGUAAAGUUCUUUCGACAGGGAAGAAAAUGCCUAUAAGUAACUGUGUAUGUAUUGACGGUACCUGUAUAAGCAGCCCCGGCUAACUCCGUGCCAGCAGCCGCGGUAAUACGGAGGGGGCGAGCGUUGUUCGGAGUGACUGGGCGUAAAGAGCACGUAGGCGGUGUUGUAAGUCAUUAGUCAAAGACUAGAGCUCAACUUUAGUAAGGCUAGUGAUACUAUAAUACUAGAGUAUCAGAGAGGAUUGCAGAAUUCCUGGUGUAGCGGUGAAAUGCGUAGAUAUCAGGAGGAAUACCGUUAGCGAAAGCGGCAAUCUGGCUGGAAACUGACGCUGAGGUGCGAAAGCGUGGGUAGCAAACAGGA